RNAcentral lists this microRNA precursor (78 nucleotides) under Zea mays. The record is from RNAcentral. Lineage: Eukaryota; Viridiplantae; Streptophyta; Magnoliopsida; Poales; Poaceae.
GUAUUGGCGUGCCUCAAUCCGAAGGCGUGGCUGACUGGCGCGGCAGCCAUGUUCUUGGAUUGAGCCGCGUCAAUAUCU